GUGCCAGCCGCCGCGGUAAUACGGAGGGUGCAAGCGUUAAUCGGAAUUACUGGGCGUAAAGCGCACGCAGGCGGUUUGUUAAGUCAGAUGUGAAAUCCCCGGGCUCAACCUGGGAACUGCAUCUGAUACUGGCAAGCUUGAGUCUCGUAGAGGGGGGUAGAAUUCCAGGUGUAGCGGUGAAAUGCGUAGAGAUCUGGAGGAAUACCGGUGGCGAAGGCGGCCCCCUGGACGAAGACUGACGCUCAGGUGCGAAAGCGUGGGGAGCAAACAGGAUUAGAUACCCUGGUAGUCCACGCCGUAAACGAUGUCGACUUGGAGGUUGUGCCCUUGAGGCGUGGCUUCCGGAGCUAACGCGUUAAGUCGACCGCCUGGGGAGUACGGCCGCAAGGUUAAAACUCAAAUAAAUUGACGG
RNAcentral lists this ribosomal RNA (412 nucleotides) under uncultured bacterium. RNAcentral describes it as "bacterial SSU rRNA". It matches the Rfam family "Bacterial small subunit ribosomal RNA", at positions 505 to 916 of the family's 1533-position model. The record is from RNAcentral.